AAUCAACGCUGGCGGCGUGCCUAACACAUGCAAGUCGAACGUGAGAGGGGCUUCGGCCCCGAUUGAGUGGCGAACGGGUGAGUAACGCGUGGGUGACCUACCUUCGAGUGGGGGAUAACGUCCCGAAAGGGACGCUAAUACCGCAUAACAUCCUGCUUUUGAAUGGGUGGAGAUCAAAGCCGGGGAUCGCAAGACCUGGCGCUUGAUGAGGGGCCCGCGUCUGAUUAGCUAGUUGGGAGGUAACGGCCCACCAAGGCAACGAUCAGUAUCCGGCCUGAGAGGGCGGACGGACACACUGGGACUGAGACACGGCCCAGACUCCUACGGGAGGCAGCAGUGGGGAAUUGUUCGCAAUGGGCGCAAGCCUGACGACGCAACGCCGCGUGGAGGAUGAAGGUCUUCGGAUUGUAAACUCCUGUUGCCCGGGACGAAUGGCUCCGACCUAACACGUCGGAGUGUGACGGUACCGGGUGAGGAAG
This 479-nucleotide ribosomal RNA is filed under the name uncultured bacterium. RNAcentral's name for it is "bacterial SSU rRNA". It matches the Rfam family "Bacterial small subunit ribosomal RNA", at positions 28 to 490 of the family's 1533-position model. The record is from RNAcentral.